This 138-nucleotide ribosomal RNA is filed under the name uncultured bacterium. Its description in RNAcentral is "partial 16S ribosomal RNA". It matches the Rfam family "Bacterial small subunit ribosomal RNA", at positions 355 to 509 of the family's 1533-position model. The record is from RNAcentral.
UGGGGAAUAUUGCACAAUGGGGGGAACCCUGAUGCAGCGACGCCGCGUGGGUGAAGGAGCGUUUCGGCGCGUAAAGCCCUAUCGGCAGGGAAGAAGGAGGACGGUACCUGACUAAGAAGCCCCGGCUAACUACGUGCC